RNAcentral lists this long non-coding RNA (523 nucleotides) under Lactuca sativa (garden lettuce). RNAcentral describes it as "long non-coding RNA (LSAT_LNC008389)". The record is from RNAcentral. Lineage: Eukaryota; Viridiplantae; Streptophyta; Magnoliopsida; Asterales; Asteraceae.
CUGGGUGCGGGGUUAUCAAUCCCGUAUUGAUCUAUACACACAAUGUCCACUCUCCCUAUAGGAGACUCUGGUUACCAACUAGACUACAGAGAAGGCCGUGUCCUAAAGAUGCAUCCCGAAUAGUGGGUAGAGACUUCCAACUAGUGGGUUUCUAAUGUAAGUGCUGAACUAGAGGUUGAGACUCUUAACUGAAUUGACUGAAGUAAACUCGUAUGUCUAUACUUGUGUACAUAGUAUAUAAGUAAUGAAUCAAACGACCUUCGGAUGGACAUCCGAUCCCACCAGACCACAUCUCAACGAAGAAAAGGAAAUAGGGCGGACAAGCCUUCCUAAGUCCUUCAAUCAUUAUUUAUAUGCAUCUAUACAAGCACAGACAUACAUCUAACUACGCUUGAGUGUGUAUCAAGUGGAAUCAUAUCGUGAAGUAUAAGUGUACANCUUGUGUACAUAAUAUAUAAGUAAUGAAUCAAACGACCUUCGGAUGGACAUCCGAUCCCACCAGACCACAUCUCAACGAAGAAAA